This 496-nucleotide ribosomal RNA is filed under the name uncultured bacterium. RNAcentral's name for it is "partial 16S ribosomal RNA". It matches the Rfam family "Bacterial small subunit ribosomal RNA", at positions 29 to 507 of the family's 1533-position model. The record is from RNAcentral.
AUGAACGCUGGCGGCGUGCCUAAUACCUGCAAGUCGAGCGCACGGACGAGAAGCUUGCUUCUCUGAUGUUAGCGGCGGACGGGUGAGUAACACGUGGAUAACCUACCUAUAAGACUGAGAUAACUUCGGGAAACCGGAGCUAAUACCGGAUGAUAUUUUGAACCGCAUGGUUCAAAAGUGAAAGACGGUCUUGCUGUCACUUAUAGAUGGAUCCGCGCUGCAUUAGCUAGUUGGUAAGGUAACGGCUUACCAAGGCAACGAUGCAUAGCCGACCUGAGAGGGUGAUCGGCCACACUGGAACUGAGACACGGUCCAGACUCCUACGGGAGGCAGCAGUAGGGAAUCUUCCGCAAUGGGCGAAAGCCUGACGGAGCAACGCCGAGUGAGUGAUGAAGGUCUUCGGAUCGUAAAACUCUGUUAUUAGGGAAGAACAUAUGUGUAAGUAACUGUGCACAUCUUGACGGUACCUAAUCAGAAAGCCACGGCUAACUACGUG